CAGUCGCCACGGUAAUACGGAGGGUGCAAGCGUUAUCCGGAUUUAUUGGGUUUAAAGGGUCCGUAGGCGGACUUAUAAGUCAGUGGUGAAAGCCUGUCGCUUAACGAUAGAACUGCCAUUGAUACUGUAAGUCUUGAGUAUAUUUGAGGUAGCUGGAAUAAGUAGUGUAGCGGUGAAAUGCAUAGAUAUUACUUAGAACACCAAUUGCGAAGGCAGGUUACCAAGAUAUAACUGACGCUGAGGGACGAAAGCGUGGGUAGCGAACAGGAUUAGAUACCCCCGUAGUCCCUGUCUCUUAUAC
Molecule: ribosomal RNA, 301 nt
Filed under: uncultured bacterium
Lineage: Bacteria
Description: partial 16S ribosomal RNA
Rfam family: Bacterial small subunit ribosomal RNA
Source: RNAcentral